AAAAGCAAAGGAUUCCAUCAAACCUGGGCAGCCUGGUCUAGCGGCUGGUGAUCCUGCACAUAGCAGGGGGUUGAAACUAGGUGAUCAUUGUGGUCCUUUUCAACCCAGGCCAUUCUAUAAUUCUGUGAUUCUAUGAUUUUAUGAUGAAAUUGUAGCAAUAGAAAUUCCAGUGGUAUUCAAAAGGAGUAGGAAUGCACAGUUUAAUAGAACAGACGAGUUCACGUUUGUAUUUGAUGACAAUACUGACGUGAUUUCUUUAUCCAAAUCUACUUUUCUCUCUAUCAAUACAGGUUUACAGCACAUUAUUUUCACUCUGCCGAUAUUUCUCAACCCAUGCGCCCUGGAACACAGAAAUCCCAAAUCAAUGUCCUUGUUGUCUGCUUUACGUUGUAACUACAGACUUGCGUGCCCUGUGACGGGCGCUGCAGACAAAAAAGAUCGCGUUUGAACCCUGGUUUGCAUGGGACGGUAGCAGCGAGGGACGGCCACGCCGCCGCACCACCGCCGGCCACCAGGGGGCGCUGCUCCCCACCCACCGCCGGCGGCUCCUCUCGUCGGCGCUCUCUAUGGCCGUUGCCCGUGGCAGGGCCUCUGUUUACUUCCGGCAGGCCGGAGCGGCUGCAUGGGGCGCGGGGCCGAGCGCUGGCUGCGCGUUGCUAUGGCCGAACAGGCGGAGGAGGAAGACCUACCGGUGCCCGAAUCAGGGGCUGUUUUACUUUUGGAAAAAGCAACUUUGCAGAAAACAUUCCUAGCAAGUUCUGGUUCAGAAAUGACAAGCCGGUCCAUAUAUCAUGCGGAGAUGAACACACUGCUGUUGUUACAGAGCGUUUGUGGAGAAGGAACUGCAUAAGCAUAAAAUAAAUAAAGAAAUCCUCGAUACCAAACAGUUUUUUGGAACAUUGUAAAGUAGAGGCAAAAUUGAGGUAAGAUAUUGUGCAAAACUGAACAAAAUGAGAGAAACUGCACAAGUCAUGCAAAAUGAUAAAGACAGAAGAGAAGACAUCUAUGACCGUCAUUUGUUCUUCACAAGUAUGCAUGCGCACCACACAUUUCUGCUGUUAGAUGGAGUUGGAUGAUAGAGUGGAAUUAAAGCCUUUUGUGAAUGUCGUUGAACUGCAAUAAGAUCUGGAAAUAAAGAGCUCCAGAGGUGCGUGGUGAUAAUGAGUUUGCUGGAAGGAUGCAGACUAUGGGAGAAACAAGGAGCUCCUUGAAAUCCAGCUGAACCUGACUGGAAGAGAGAAAAGUAUCUCAAGCAGGUAUGUAUUAAUGCAUACUUCAUUUUAAUUUCAGUCUUUAUUUACAGGUGGCAUUUUCCACACCAUUUUUUUUCUCCUCCUCUGGAGGAUAUGGUGGGAAGUGUGAAUUUAGGGGAUAAAGAUAGAUUACAACAAUAGAAGUGUGUCAGAUUUACACUAACGUGUUAUACUAACAUGCCUCAGUGGUCAUAGGUAAAACAGUCAUGCAAGCUUAUUCAAAGCAUUCCUUAUGUUUGGGAUGGGAAAGACGGCUGUAUCUAGCACUUCAUUAAAAUGAAAAUGAAGAAAAUGUGCAGGAGGUAAUAUGCAGCAUUCUGAUAAAAUAUUCAGAACAUUUCAAAUACUUCUUUCAUGUAAUCCAACACCUGUAUUCCCCUAUGGCUUUUAGAAAGAAAAAUGUAAACUAAGCAUAAAAAACCUCUGGUCCUUGGCUUUCCAUGUCAGGAGUUACAGUCCAAAAUAAGUUCUAUUGACUCACUGUGGCUAUGUGUUGGAAUAGUGAACCAGUGAUCACAUUUCUUGCCACCAUUUCCUAUAUUUUUUGGCCUGAGAAUGCUGUUUACUUCCUGCAUCUUUUGUAACUGCAGGCUUUGGAAAGCAGUUUAUUAAUCCUGUUGGGAGAUAGUGUGAAGUAAGUUACGUUAACCAUAUUUUUAAGAAUCUCUUCCUAACGUUAUUCUAUUAAUAAUUUUCUACAAACCUCUUAAAAUUAACACCUGUCUUAUUGUUUAUAGGCCUUGAUUAGGGCAUACUAAGCAGAUCGCCCACAUUUGGUUGAAGAGACCAAUUCUAUUCACAAGGAUGAAGUGGUGGAAGGUGCAUCUUCUGGACUCAGAACUCUGGAGAGACUUGAAGCUCCCAGUGCAAGAGGGCAGAAGGAAAGAGAUUCAUGUGGACACAGAACGAGAUUAUAUGUGCAUAGUUUCAAGUUAUGUAAAGCACUAAAUAUUCAACAAUGUAGACCAAAGAAACAUUGGAAUCUCUCUGGGUCUUCAGACACCAAACUCCAUCUCUUCUCUCUACCUGCUGGCAAGCCAUUAGAAUAUGGUUCAGAACCUUUUACAGUUAGCUGCAAGAGGAAAAUGAAGAAUAUCACUGCAUGUUUGCAUUAGUUUUUGGUGUGCAUAGGAGCAAGCAACAUACUGCACUGUUUUGGUUUGUACGAUGCUAAAUAUCUGAAGCAUGACUGUUCUUACCUCUCAGUAAAACUUUUCAGAAUAUUAUGAUUUGUCUAAGAAAACUGAUAUCAUUCCCACUUUCAUGAGCUGUAUUUGAAUUGUAUAUGAAUUCUUGUUUAUUCAUGAAAUAGCACAAAUAAAAAAAACAACAUGAUGCUUGGCAUAUAUUCAAAAUUUUCUUCUGAUAAAAACUUCACGGUGUAAUCCAGUAAUAACUGUUUGAAGUCGCUGUCUACUCUACCUGUUUUAGCUCUCUUGCACAUUUAUACCAUGUAGAAACCCAGAGGGAAAAUGCAUGGAGCACAGAUGAUAUAAACAGAUGGCUGUCUGCUAUUAUCAUUGAGUAUUUCAGCUUCCUCUGAAUUCCUCAACUGCUGUAUGACUGCUUUUAGCCUGGCUUCAUGGACCGGGGCACCACAGGACAAAUGGAGUCGUAAGCAAUCAUGGUUGUGAUAGCAGCCACCAUAUGAGCUAUCUACUAGUUAGGAGACACUCUCUUUCUGAAGUCUCACAAAAUUCUCUGUUCUGAAAGACGUAAGCAUCUAGUGGCUUCUGUUAAUAUAUCCAAAUUAGUGUUGGCGAAACAUCCACUGGUGAUGUGCUUAUGUCUGCAUGCUUUGGGGAGAUAGCCCAAUCUUGCAUCUGGGGAGGUGCAGACUAGUGGUAGGUGUAUGUUUACAUCACCAAAACAGUCCGAGUAGUUUCUUUAUAUCUUGCUGUAUCUGUUCUUUUCCCUAACUGUACUGUACCUGUCUUCUGCCCGCUUUACCAGGGGGCCACAAUCUGCACAAAAGUGGAUGCAAGAAUCAUAGACUCAUAGAAUGGCCUGGGUUGAAAAGGACCACAGUGAUUAUCUAGUUUCAACCCCCCAGCUACGUGCAGGGUCACCAACCACCUGACCAGGCUGCCCAAAGAGUGAUUUGAGUUCGUGAGGUUUUUUAAAUGAUCCUUGCCUAUUUGUCUGCUGCUAAAGUCGUUCUCACUUCAGAAUGUCUGUGGUGAUGACUGCAGAUAACUUGGUACUCAAUUAUGAAAAUAGGGCAUUUUGCAAAGCUUUGUAGUGUUUCUUGGCCUGCUGAGAUUCCAUCAAAUGCUUGUUUUAAACCUGUUUUGCUAUACAGACCUAGAAACGUUGCUUCAUUAUAGGUGUUUGGUAGGGUUUGUGUGUAGUGCCUGUUAGUUUUUAUUCACUGUCUGAAUUACCUAGUUCUCAGUUUUCUUUUUUUCUGUUACACUGCUGAGUGCUGAAAGCCUGAAAUUAUCAAAGGCUGUCACUCAGCUGGUAAAGAAUAUAACAGAAUUCUGCUCGUCUGUUAAGCUUCUUGUCUUAUAAAGCAAUGUUUGAGAACUAAAAGAUUGCUAUAAGAAACAGCAGAUUAUGGGAUUAAAAGCAUGACCUGCUGGAAUUCUGAAUGGGUAAAAGAGAAUGUGACUUAAUUGAAUUAUGGCAACUUGAUAUCGUAUUCCCACAUGAGUUUACAGUGGUCGGCCUUUAAAAUAUAUGUAAUAGAGCUACAAACAUGCAUAUAACAGUGUUGGAUGCCACUUGCUAAUAAAAAUUCUCCCCCUUAAGAUGUGUUUUGUUUUCAGUGAUAUACCUCUGCAUAUGUUUUGGCAUGGUUGCAUUACCAAAAUCAGGGUGGUGAUAUAAAUGCUAUUACUGAAAUGUGGUAAGCGUAGCCUUGACCUCAGGCUUUCCUCCAUUUCAGCUUUACUGGAAAGACAUAGUGUUGACAUGUAAUUGUCAAAUCUAACAAUUUGAUUGAGAUGUUAGGUAGUAGUUACUGUUCAAAUUUUUUUUAAUUACUAUUUUUAUUUUAAAUUUCUGGUAGUAUUUGAGAAAACAAAUGGAUUUUUGUAACUAUUCUUACUAUGUUUUAAAAAUCUCAAAAAUCAUAUUUUUAGGAGGAAGUUUUUCACACACAGGGUGGUGACACACUGGAGCAGGUUGCCCAAGGAGGUUGUGGAUGCCCCAUCCCUGUAGUCAUUCAAGGCCAGGCUGGAUGUGGCUCUGGGCAGCCUGCUCUGGUGGUUGAUGACUCUGCACAUAGCAGGGAGGUUGAAACUGGAUGAUCUUUUCAACCCAGGCCAUUCUAUGACUCUGUGAUAUUUCAAAGUCUCUUUAAAUCACAUUCAGAACAUUCACAAGGAGCCAAUGCUAAGGAAGUGCAGACUUAAUAUUUUGGUAUUAUUGUGUGGAAUUGCUAUUAUGCAUUGUGCUCAUGUGAUAACUGAUGGCUAGGGUGACUGAAAGUUUAUUUACAUAACAACACCAUGAUGGAAUCUAACUCACAAAUGCAGAGGAUCAGCAAAAGUAAAUGGUCUUGUUUUAACAGUUAUGAAGGGGAUUUUGGUUGGUUGGUUUUGGAUUAUUUUUUUGACAAACCAGCUUCUGUUGUUGGAGGUGGGAUUUUACUUUUGGAUAAGAUGUUCGCAGUUUUACAAGAGCCAUUAAUUUAAAAAAUGAAGUGAUAUGAAUAAAUUUAAGGUAUUGUUAAUAGUGUGAUGUGACACUCCGAUCUGCAUGCCCAAUGAGAAAACUUUUAUCUGCUCAUUUUUCAUCCUCUUAGAAAAGUGGGUUAUUCUGAAUGAAAACAAUUCGCUGCUUGUGAUGUCAAACCUGCAAAUUCAAAAACAAUGUCAUACAAGUUUCUGAAAUACAACUUUAGCAUUAUUCCUGUUGAAGAUUUCAUAUAGGCACACAAAACUCCCUGACUGCAUGGUGUUUUUACACAUUCCUUCUUUAUAGACAGAGUACCAGAUUAAUCCACGAUGAGAGAUGCAAAGAAGAAGAAAGGCUCUUGUCGUAGACACAUUUGUCCAAAGGAAAACCCAUUUAAUUUGUGAGCACAUUAGAAAAUGUAUUGUAAAUUAUGUUGUGAGGAACUACAAUUUGCAGGUCAUUUUAAGACAGGACACUUAGCAAUUAAAUAUUUUCCCCCAGUAGACAACAAAAUAAGCUGAGAAUGGCAAAUGUUUGUUUAUAUUAAUUAUAUUGCUGCAUUAUUGAUGUCCGUGUCUGAGGUAGAGGUGUGGGUGCUCAGUUAAAUGCACUGUUAUUUUGCCAGUAUGUCUAUAGAGACUGCUAAGUCUGUCUGAGAGCACUCCUUUUUUAUUUUCUGAUGAGUGCUUUAUCUGAGCAGUAGCUUAAGGGAAGGGUGCUUGUUCUCCUCUUUUGUCAUUUCUUCUGUGUACCUAUUUCUUACUAAGUACAUCUACAAUGCAGUACUUGCGGACAAAUCAGGUCAUACACAUGGCAUUGCCUACUUCUAUAUCUUACAUUAAAAAGUU
RNAcentral lists this long non-coding RNA (5725 nucleotides) under Meleagris gallopavo (turkey). RNAcentral describes it as "lncRNA (ENSMGAG00000022506.1)". Lineage: Eukaryota; Metazoa; Chordata; Aves; Galliformes; Phasianidae. The record is from RNAcentral.